This 1059-nucleotide long non-coding RNA is filed under the name Marmota monax (woodchuck). The record is from RNAcentral. Lineage: Eukaryota; Metazoa; Chordata; Mammalia; Rodentia; Sciuridae.
UUCAAGAAAAAAAAUUCAGGGGAAAUAUUAGGAAGAUAUAACAGUUUUUAAGUUAGUACUUAUCUAACGAUAUGGCUCAAAAGUGGGGAAACAUUCACAAAUCUCAAAGUAGUUGAAAGAUUUUUGACACCUCUCUCAGUAAUUAACAGUGCAAGCAGACUAAAAAUGAGUAAAGAUAUGGUUUAAAAUCAUUUAAAAAUAUGAUUCACAAGCAAUCUAAUGGAUAUACAUGUACUAUUAUAUCAAGAAUACAUAUGCUCUUUCAAACACACAUGAAACAUUUUUCAGAAAUUGACUAUGUGCUGAGCCAUAAGGUAAAUCUCAACAAUUUAAAAGGAUGGAAAUCAGGGUAAUUCUGUCAUGCAUUUAAAUGAGAAAUUAAUAAGAAAGAUUACUAGGACAUUCCCAUUAUAUUCAGAAAUGGACAAAUACAUGAAUAAAUCAUGGUUCAUAGAUAAAAAAUAUUUUAACUGAAUGAUAAUAAAAAUGCCACAUACCCAAACAGUGGGAAGAUGCUUAAGCAGUGCUUAGAAAUUUAUAGCUUAAAAAUAUUUUUAGAAUAUCAAAAACUUGGUAAUCACCUAAGCACCACUCAAAAGGUUAAAACAAAUCCCCCCCAAAAAUGUUAAAAAGUAAUAAAAAGCAGAAAUUAACAAAAUAGAAAAAAUAGGAUUAACAAAUCCAUAUGUAUGUUUCUUUAGGAAGACUACAAAAUUGACAUAACUCUCAUGAGACUGAUCAAGAAAAAAAAGAGAAAGCACAAAUAACCAAAGUCAGGAAUAAAAAGUAGGGGGAAAUAUACAGCAGGGUAAAAUUUCCUUCUCUGAACAUACACUGACUCCCUUGCUCCCUGAAACUAAGAGAAUACCUCACUUCCUCUAAAUUCCUUGAGUCAACAAUUCUGAGAACAGGAUGUAACCGUCUAAGAUGAGCCAAAUCACAAAGAAACAGCUCAUUUUUGUAAAAUUACAAUGCCUAUACCUCACCAAUGCUCACCAAAACCAUAGUGUGCACUGUUGCUUGUGUUUCUUAAAAACUCAUUCUGGGGCUGGGUUUGUG